UACGUAGGGGGCAAGCGUUGUCCGGAAUUAUUGGGCGUAAAGAGCUCGUAGGCGGUCUGUUACGUCUGCUGUGAAAACCCGGGGCUUAACCCUGGGCUUGCAGUGGAUACGGGCAGACUAGAGGCAGGUAGGGGAGAAUGGAAUUCCCGGUGUAGCGGUGAAAUGCGCAGAUAUCAGGAAGAACACCCGUGGCGAAGGCGGCUCUCUGGGACGGUACUGACGCUGAGACGCGAAAGCGUGGGGAGCGAACAGG
RNAcentral lists this ribosomal RNA (253 nucleotides) under uncultured bacterium. RNAcentral's name for it is "partial 16S ribosomal RNA". It matches the Rfam family "Bacterial small subunit ribosomal RNA", at positions 524 to 776 of the family's 1533-position model. The record is from RNAcentral.